Non-coding RNA from Pimephales promelas (fathead minnow), 1845 nucleotides. Lineage: Eukaryota; Metazoa; Chordata; Actinopteri; Cypriniformes; Leuciscidae. The record is from RefSeq and is a predicted model, not a curated record.
UAGAAGAAAAUUUCAAAAUGGCACUUAGAGGCUUUUGCAUCUGAACUCUUCAUAUGUAAUAUAAAAGCCUAGAUUUAAUGUGUUCAUCAUAUAAAUUCAGAAGACUUUAAACCACUCGGAUCAUAUGGAUUUCUUUUACGACCUUUUUGUGAACCUUUUUGAGCUGUCUAAGUUUUGGGUUUCAUUAAAAAUAUCUUAAACGAAUAUCUUACUAAAACUCUUAUGGUUUUGGAUGGAACGACUUGAGAGUGAAUAAUUUAUGACAAAAUUUUUAUUUUGGGUGAAUUAUUCCUUUAAACUAUUUCUCUAUUAUAUAGCGUCCGCCUCCCACGCCGGAGGCCCCGGUUCGAAUCCCGCUCGGAGUGGGUCGAGUAGGACUGGUUACACAAUGCACUCAACAUGAAUAUUCAAUUUUUGUUGUCGGAUCAAAUAAUGUUUUUUUAAAAAAUGUUAAGACAAUAAAAUAAAAAAAAGCUAAAUAACCUAUUUUAAUUCCAAGACGAUAACAGAAUGCCACUCGCAUUGUAGAAUGUAUAGCUUUUUUAUUUUUUUAUUCACCAUUUACAAUCGACCCUUUUCACAUUUCUAGGGUUCUCAGAAGCGUAAGUUGUCAUAGUUGGGUAAAUUAUGUCAAAUUUGCUCCCGUAGCGAAAGAAAACAUCCGUGAUAGUGUUUCUAUGAUUUUCCAAAAGAAGAUUUUUUUUGCUUUUACUCCCUCAUCCAUUGUAUUAUAAAUUCUCACCUAACAGCGUUAGCCAGUUUUCUGUAAUUUAAUGCCAAGGUAAUAAAAAACAAAAGUAUACUCUGAAAAAAAAAGAUGUUUCUUUAAAGGUUCUCUAAGGCCCGUUUGCACCAAGGACGACAACUAUAAUACUAUAAUGAUAAAGCUCUACAAAUCAUUCUAAAUAUAAAAUAAUAGCAGAGUUCACACCACAGCUAUAAUGAUAAUGGCACAGAGAAACUAUAUCAUUGCAGUCUCUUUCAGAACGAUUUUGUCCAGCUGAUGAAUGAUAAAAACAUUGACAGCCAAUCAGAAUCCAUCCUGCUGUAAGGAGCUCGAGCAUUUAAAGCGGCAGACAACACAACUGCAGCGCUUAGAAUAAACAGAACUAUAUCGUCUGCUGCUGUGAAUGCUAAUAUAGGUAUCUUUUUUAUAGUUCUUGGUUUAAACGGGUCUUUACACAGUAACAGUUCUAUUUAGAACCGCAUCAUCCUUCCUGAAGAACCCUUUAAAUGCUGAAAUGGUUCUUUGUCUUAGAGUUUAGGGUUCUUUAUUCCCGCCUUUUUGUUUUUCAAAUUUGUAACUAUCAAGGCCACCUCAUUACUGAUUUUCUGGAGAUCAGCUACACAGACUGUCAGCACACUCUCAACAGGUAAAUUACUUCUUUCUUAAAAUGUCUAUAAAUUUUAGCUUUAAAUUUGUAACCGGUUUCAUUUCAAAUCAUGUCUUUUUCUCUUUUUAGUUUAACAGAACAUGUAAAUGUGACCAGCAUUGUUCGAUUAAGGAUACUUGUCUUCUCUUCAUCACUAAAUGCUGUCGUACCAUAACCUCAUCAUCUGCAGAGAGAAACUGACACACAGAAUACACACAUAAUGAAGGACGUAAAAACAUCAUAGAGGAUUGUGAAGAGAUUUCUUGGCCUAUAUCUAUAUCAUGUUCCAUAACAAUUGUUAUUUAUUAAUGUAUUCAGCUAAUAACUUGUUAGAGCACUGUCAUUCUUGCUCCAUUUGCCAUAUCAAUAAAAAAAUAAAAGUACCUAAUUGAAACAACAUGCUGUUUGUUGUUGGUGGUGUUUUUAUGUAAAACCCGAAUAGAGGCUACAUGAUAAUACAAGACCAGUCAGA